This 74-nucleotide transfer RNA is filed under the name Chloroflexota bacterium. RNAcentral describes it as "tRNA-Asp". It matches the Rfam family "tRNA". Rfam says of the family: Transfer RNA (tRNA) molecules are approximately 80 nucleotides in length. Their secondary structure includes four short double-helical elements and three loops (D, anti-codon, and T loops). Further hydrogen bonds mediate the characteristic L-shaped molecular structure. tRNAs have two regions of fundamental functional importance: the anti-codon, which is responsible for specific mRNA codon recognition, and the 3' end, to which the tRNAs corresponding amino acid is attached (by aminoacyl-tRNA synthetases). tRNAs cope with the degeneracy of the genetic code in two manners: having more than one tRNA (with a specific anti-codon) for a particular amino acid; and 'wobble' base-pairing, i.e. permitting non-standard base-pairing at the 3rd anti-codon position. The record is from RNAcentral. Lineage: Bacteria; Bacillati; Chloroflexota.
GGUCCCGUGGUGUAGUGGCCUAACAUGCCUCCCUGUCAAGGAGGAGACCGCCAGUUCGAAUCUGGUCGGGACCG